ACUAAAGGGGCCGGCCAACUAAUUGGUAAUGGGAUUGUUUAACUAGUCCUUAAGUGCUAACUAGAUUAGUUGAACAUUAAUGGUUAGUGGAAGGGUAAUGAUGGAUUUGGCGGCAUUGUGGCAUGCGUGCUUGUUGAUUGGGCCGGCCAAAGUGAGGGGGAAAUGUGAGAGGAAGAGUGACGGUGAGUGAAAAAGAGAGAAGGAAAUUCAGCUCAUUUCCUUCUUCAUUUCUUUGGUUCUUACGAUGGUGACGGGAGAGGAAAUCAAAAUUUUCAUGUUCAGAAGGUAACUUCUCAAGCUUUGCUAACAAAGAGGGAGACGGUCAAAGGAAUAAAGGGAAGGGCAAGUUAGUGUAGGAGGAAUCGGCUUUGGAGAAAAUGUUGCUGGUUCUUUCAUUUUGUUCUCGGACUUCAGGGGACUCAGCCAGCCUUCAUUUUGUAGCUUUUGGUAAUAUGUACAUACCGGGGCAACUCGCUCUAUUAGUUCCUGGGGAAUUAAAUGUACUUCAUCCUGUUUAGUCCAAGUUUACAUUUAAACUCUUAAAUGUAAAUUUGACAAGUAGUAAGUUCAUUGCAUCUCUCUUCAAAUUUCACAA
Gossypium arboreum is the source of this 595-nucleotide long non-coding RNA. RefSeq lists it as uncharacterized. NCBI's taxonomy places the organism in Eukaryota, Viridiplantae, Streptophyta, Magnoliopsida, Malvales, Malvaceae. The record is from RefSeq and is a predicted model, not a curated record. The transcript is spliced from 2 exons.